This is a long non-coding RNA of Solanum pennellii, 1877 nucleotides long. RefSeq lists it as uncharacterized. The transcript is spliced from 2 exons. The record is from RefSeq and is a predicted model, not a curated record. NCBI's taxonomy places the organism in Eukaryota, Viridiplantae, Streptophyta, Magnoliopsida, Solanales, Solanaceae.
UAUUGAUGCCACUUUAAGGUGUGGUAUUUUAAUCCAUCAAUGAGCAAUUGGGUCUCCUUAAAAAUGAAAAAUGAUGAGUCGCUUAAAAAUUAUGUGACUUUCAUGAUUUUGGAAGUAUGAAUGUAGGCUCACUGUUGAAAAUUGGAGGCAUGUCUAUCUAGUUUCCUUGUGUAUGCCUAUAAAUUGUAAGAUUUUCCCUAAAUGAUGCAUGUUUAUGAAAGCUAGUGUUAUGCUAGAAAUUGAAAUCUAUGUGAAAUGACUUCCUAUUAUUGUAAGUGUGUGGUGUGAUUUACCAUUUUGACUUCACUAGGAAGAAAGUUUGAGCAUGUUUUGGUUUAAAAGUUGGGAACUUCUCAUUUAAAAUGAAUUGACCUUUGUGCCUUUCUUGGGUAUGAACUCAUGAGGCAUAUAAGUAUGUUGAGGAGAAGGACAUUACUCCCUAAACAUAACUAAGCAUGGUAUGGUUGAGUAUGACCCUCAUGGAAUUAGGCCUAACUAAUAAGAAUCCAUUGUUGAUCUACUUGACCCAAGUCUAUAUGCAUUGAAGCAUGAGUGCCCAAUUGCUUCUUGAGUGUUGUUGAAUUUGCCUAAGUGUGACUUAAAUGUUGUUGAAUAAUGAAGUCUUAGUAAAAUAAAAUGAAAAUGACAAUGUUAUGAUUAGUAGAAGGAUGUUCUUCCAAUGAACAUGACAAGAGCCUAUGUGAAUUGAUGCAUUAAGGAGUGAGUGAAUAAGGUUUUUGCUUGCUUGUGUUGAAUUGAGUUUUAAAUGGUUUGAAGGUUGGUGUUCAUUGUAGGUUUGUACAUUGACUUCUAUGUGAAGAGGUUACGAAUGUUAUGAGCUGCUCUAUGUGUCAUUGAAGUCCUUGGCGUGUUUAAAGUGUUCCAAGUGUUAUUCGAGGAAAAAUAUGCCCAAGUGGGGGAUAUAAUAAUACCCCCCAAAAAUGAGUUAAGGUGUGUAGAGCCUCACAUCAUCAUGUAUGAUUGAUUCGAAGUCAUUUGGAAGUCAAACGUCUAAGAACGUCCAAGACGUUCGAAAGUUAGCCCUUGAGAUGUGCAUGUGUGUCUUGGUAUGUUUUAAGUGUUCGUUUUGGUUGAAAUUUAUAUGGAAUGUCCUUAACUUGUGAAUGAAUGUAUUUAUGUUUGAAACAUCUAGGUACGACUCCCUAGUGUCCCUGCAAGAGGCCCUCAAGGAGUACCCAAAGAUUAUUGAGACACUUCCAAUCGACGCCUCGUGCAUGGGAUGACACCCCGUCAAUGGGGGCGUAUCUCAACACAUAAACAUGUGAGCAUGAGACCCAAAGAAGAAGCCUCACUCACCAUCGACGGAGCACCAGUAAGGGCCGUCAUUCUAUCAAGGCCCUGUCGACUGGUGUCAGUAGGUGCUGCCUGCAAUUUGCAGCAUACACGCUGCCAUGAAAGGGGUGUAUUGGGAAAUUCACUCCACCUCCCAAACUGUCCCUAGGAGGUUAAUUCAUGUAUUUUAUGGUAUAUUAAUUUGAUUUAUAACAUGAAAUCCCAAUACCCAAUUCAUUACUUCAAAAUUAGACUUCCCUCCCAAACCAAACCUCUUCACAAACCUCCAUCGAAGAUGAAGCUCAAGGUCAUCUUGUAGAUGGGAUUGUGAUGGUUUCUUCACCAUGUUUUCCUGGUUCCUUCAUAUAAUAAAGGUUAUGUAUACUUAAAUGGAUGUCUCUAAAGUGAAGGAGCUUGAUAUGUGUUUCCCAAGCUCAAGCAAAGGAAUCCUUAAGUUCAACGAUUGCCUAUGUCAAGUUCUUAUAAAGUCAUGUAAUCGUUAGUUAUGUUUUAUGUUAUACGGGUCGUGUCCUUAAUGUACUAUAAUAAUUUUGAAUCUAAGAUGGAAAAGAGACUUAUAGUCU